RNAcentral lists this ribosomal RNA (215 nucleotides) under uncultured bacterium. RNAcentral's name for it is "partial 16S ribosomal RNA". It matches the Rfam family "Bacterial small subunit ribosomal RNA", at positions 118 to 347 of the family's 1533-position model. The record is from RNAcentral.
UGGGAACGUACCCUUCGGUUCGGAAUAACCCGGGGAAACUCGGGCUAAUACCGGAUACGUCCGCAAGGAGAAAGAUUUAUCGCCGAAGGAUCGGCCCGCGUCGGAUUAGCUAGUUGGUGGGGUAACGGCCCACCAAGGCGACGAUCCGUAGCUGGUCUGAGAGGAUGAUCAGCCACACUGGGACUGAGACACGGCCCAGACUCCUACGGGAGCAG